AAACAACAGGAUUGCCUCAGUAGCGGCGAGUGAAGCGGCAAAAGCUCAAAUUUGAAAUCUGGUAGUUCUGCUACCCGAGUUGUAAUUUGUAGAAAACUGUCUUUGUUAGGGUGCCUGUCUAAGUUCCUUGGAACAGGACGUCGCAGAGGGUGAGAAUCCCGUGUGAUGGGUGGCCCGAGCUUUUAAGGCGUUUUCGAAGAGUCGAGUUGUUUGGGAAUGCAGCUCUAAGUGGGUGGUAAAUUCCAUCUAAAGCUAAAUAUUGGCGAGAGACCGAUAGCGAACAAGUACAGUGAUGGAAAGAUGAAAAGAACUUUGAAAAGAGAGUGAAACAGUACGUGAAAUUGUUGAAAGGGAAGGGUAUUUGAUCCGACAUGGGAUUUACUCAUCAUUGCUCCUUGUGGGUGGUGCUCUGGGUUUUUUCUGGGCCAGAAUCAGUUUGUGUGGCAGGAUAAAGGCGUGAGGAAGUAGCUCUUCUGGAGCAAUAUAACUCAUGUUAAUACUGCCUAUGCGGACUGAGGAAUGCGUUUUUACCAAGAUUCUGCAUAAC
RNAcentral lists this ribosomal RNA (547 nucleotides) under Kregervanrija fluxuum. RNAcentral's name for it is "LSU rRNA". It matches the Rfam family "Eukaryotic large subunit ribosomal RNA", at positions 62 to 634 of the family's 3401-position model. Lineage: Eukaryota; Fungi; Ascomycota; Pichiomycetes; Pichiales; Pichiaceae. The record is from RNAcentral.